Non-coding RNA from Delphinapterus leucas (beluga whale), 3021 nucleotides. The record is from RefSeq and is a predicted model, not a curated record. NCBI's taxonomy places the organism in Eukaryota, Metazoa, Chordata, Mammalia, Artiodactyla, Monodontidae.
CUAGCGCGGGUCUGGCGGAGCGCGGCGGCGCUCGGAGAUCGCGAGGCGAUCGGGAGCGGCUGGGCCCCCGGCGGCGCGCCCCUCGGCUGGGCCGGGAGCCGCGCCAGUCGGUGCCCCUAGCCGAGCGCGGUCCGCCUCCCUCCCAGCGAUCAGCCGUCCGGAGUGUGACCAGAGGGCAUGCCGGAUCCACCAGGGGCGCCGCCGCCUGCGUUCGCAGGCCGCGGGUGAAGAAGAAAGCACGGCCUCGCUCGGCCCGGAGCGAAGAGGUGACCCGGAGCGAAGAGGGGUCCCGGAGCGAAGAGGCGGUCAGAAGCGAAGAGGUGGCCCUAAGUGAAGAGGUGGCCCGGAGCGAGGAAAUGGCGGCAGCCGGGCUCAGCAUAAUCGUCACCCACAGCAACGAGAAGCACGAUCUUCAAGUUAUCCCGCAAGAAGGCUGUAGUGAACCAAUUGUCCAAGACCUGGCCCAGGUUGUUGAAGAGGCCACAGGGGUCCCGCUGCCUUUUCAGAAACUCAUAUUUAAGGGAAAAUCUCUGAAGGAAAUGGAGACGCCAUUGUCAGCACUUGGAAUACAAAAUGGUUGCCGGGUCAUGUUAAUUGGGAAAAAGAACAGUCCAGAGGAAGAAGUUGAAAUAAAGAAGUUGAAAGAUUUGGAGAAGUCUGUGGAGAAGAUAGCUGACCAACUGGAAGAGUUGAGUAAAGAGCUUACUGGAAUCCAGCAGGGUUUUCUGGCCAAGGAUUUGCAAGCUGAAGCUCUCUGCAAACUCGACAGGAGAGUAAAGGCCACAAUCGAGCAGUUUAUGAAGAUCUUGGAAGAGAUUGACACGCUAGUUCUGCCAGAAAAUUUCAAAGACAGUCGAAUGAAAAGGAAGGGUUUGGUGAAAAAGAUUCAGGCGUUCCUAGCUGCAUGUGAUACAGUGGAGCAGAGCAUCUGCCAGGAGAUGGAGCGACUGCAGGCCACAAACUUGGCCUUGGCUGACUGAGGUGAGGCGGAGAAGGUUGUGCUGCCUUGAAGAACAGCUCCACCAGCUCUGCACUCUCUGGAACAGAAGUUACGUGCUUUCCCCGGGGCUGCUGGGGACAACUGGCUGAUUGCAAGUUUUCCUUCUCUUAUACCUGCUCUCAGUGAACACUUGUCUGUGCAAUCUUAGCGCACCUGUCAGUUUCUUAUUCCGUUUGUGUAUAUCUGUGCUGUCCAGCAGCUCACCUUGUCUGGAGAGGGCCUCCUCUGCCCAAGUCUUCCCAGCUUUUUUGACCUUUGGAUGCUUUCUUUGGGCUGGUGAGAUCUCUCAUUUGUCCUGGGGUAGUUCUGGGUUUAUCAGCUAUCCUGUCUUCAGAUACAUGAGGCCUUUUUGCCCUUAUGAUCCCAUAGUCCCAUCUGUGUAAACCAGAAUCACCAGGAGGCUACAUCUGGUCAGGAAUGUUAGGAAUGGCUGAGAACAGGUGUUUGGCACACAGGUAGUCCAAGUAUCUCUCAUUGUGACAUAAUUCUGGAACAGCUGGCUGGGUUGUGGGUUCAUAGACCCUGUCUUCACCCCCCAGUGACCCUGACCAGUCACAGGCCGUGAGGUCUCAGGGGGCUGCUCCUGGACUGGGGCCUGUGGUUGAUCCAUGGGCUUCCUUGUCCCCAAGCAGAUCUCUAGGAGGUUACAGCCCAGAGUUGACUAAGUCUCUGCUCGAAACCGGGUCACAACCAUGGCUUAGGAGGGACAGAGAAGAGAGACAGAGUGAAUAAUAAAGCAGGCAGGUAGUGAGGGCCACCAUAAGGAGUUCCUUCAAAGGAACUCUCAGGAGUUCCUUCAAAGGCAUUUCUGUUAACCGUACCCUUCUGAGAUCUACAUGUCCUUCGAGUUCUUCGAGGCUGUUUUUGUCUGUUUUGUGGCCUUUUUUCCCUUCAUUGUUAUUUAAAAAAUAAAACAGUUUCUAUAUACAUCAGCAAGCAGAAGAGUGUUUAGACUUUUUUUUCCUUUUGGUAGAUGAAGUAUGGGAAGCAAAAGCCUUCUGAGGUUCUAGUCUAGUUAUGUUAUAAAGUUGAGAGUGGCCCUGUGUGCUGGAAUGCUUAAACAGGUCAGCGGCCAUCACCCCAUUUUUUCACACAGUGCCCAGGAGACAGGCUUCCAACAGGCCACUCUGAGGUCAACCUUCUUUGGCAGAGAGGGAGUCUGUGAAGUCCCAGGCAUUUAGGGCUGCGUGGGUGGGACUAGGACAAGGUGGUGGUUAGGGGUGGACAAGUGGACGAGGCUUGGUGCCCGGCCCGCCCACCCCCAGCUUUAAUCAGAGCAGUCCAGUAUUUCUCUGUUUCUAGGUAGUAGCUGUGUGGCCUUGAGCCCCAGCACGUUCCUGUGUGCCAGAUACCACUCUAAGUUCUUGAGGUGUAUUGGUCAUUUAAUCCUCACACAAUCUAGGAGGUAGACAGAUACUAUCCCUGUUUUAUAGAUGAGCUCAGGUAAUUUGCUCACGAUCACAGAGUAAGUGACAAAGCCAGGACACAAACUGGGUAGCUUGCGUCCGAGCCCAAGUCCUUAAUCUCUGCCAGUUUGCCUCCCAACUAACAUGGGGUUGCUCACACCCUCUCAUUUUCUCUUUUUCUUCUAUUUAUCUCCCAUGUUGGCCUCUGCAGCUCCCCUCCGGCCCUCUCCAGUUCAUUCUCCACAGAGCAGCUGAGUGAUCAUGAAGUACACAAAUUACCACGUCAGUCCCCUGCUUAAAAACCUCAGAGGCCAAGGCGACUCCUGUUCAUGCUUCAGAACGUAAACGUCUCUUCAUGGAGAAACCUCACCUACUACUGUCUGAGAACAUCAAGCCUCCAGGUGAUAUCCUGUCACAGUUUGUCAUGACUUUUUACGAUAAACAGUGUUUAUCAUGGUCUAUGAUGAUUUAUUUGUGGGAUUAUUUGAUUAAUAUUUGCCUUUAUGCUAGACUGUGAGUUCCUUGGGUUAAGGAGCUUCUUUGUCUUGUUAACAGUGUAUUUCAAGCAGAUUGUCUGGUUUAUAUUAGAUGCUCAAUAAAUAUUUGGAGAAUGAA